CCGUCGCCGAUCAAGACGUCGCGACCUGUUCGCGGCCGGUCCCUGCUCGGAGGAGCUGCGUUCGAGUUCGUUGCGUGCGCGUUUCGGCGUGUCACGCGGCGAAGGCGCGGAUCUCUGGCUGGCCGUCGGACAGUACGCUUAACGGUGUCCGGUGUCGUCGUCUCGUACGCGCGCGCACCGGUACCGGUCAGCGACGAAUUCUUCGGGCCUCUUUCCGACCCGUCUUGAAACACGGACCAAGGAGUCUAACAUGCGCGCGAGUCGCGGGGUGUCGAGCGUACUUCGGUGCGUUCGUUACGUUGCGAAACCCGUACAUGUCGAAGGCGUAAUGAAAGUGAAUGGGGAAGAUGGUGUUCCGAGUACACGUUCCGCGAUCGCUGGUAUCGCGGCCGGACACCCGCAUUCCUGGGGCGUCUCAACGGCCCGUCGCUGAUGCGGACAGUCGUCUCUCGGGGCGGCUGUCGGUCGGCGAUGAACCGAGGCGCACCUAUAGCGUGCACGUUGGUACCCGAAAGAUGGUGAACUAUGCCUGGCC
RNAcentral lists this ribosomal RNA (535 nucleotides) under Octaspidiotus sp. ud4649. RNAcentral describes it as "partial 28S ribosomal RNA". It matches the Rfam family "Eukaryotic large subunit ribosomal RNA", at positions 605 to 842 of the family's 3401-position model. Lineage: Eukaryota; Metazoa; Arthropoda; Insecta; Hemiptera; Diaspididae. The record is from RNAcentral.